This is a long non-coding RNA of Sapajus apella (tufted capuchin), 6909 nucleotides long. RefSeq lists it as uncharacterized. The transcript is spliced from 2 exons. NCBI's taxonomy places the organism in Eukaryota, Metazoa, Chordata, Mammalia, Primates, Cebidae. The record is from RefSeq and is a predicted model, not a curated record.
ACCACCUCAGUGUCCCAGGUAGCUGGGAUCACAGGUGCAAUCCACAUGCCUGGCUUGGACAUUUUUUAAAGAAAGAAUUUUAGUUUUGAAAAUAGUUUCUGAAUUAAGAGUGAUUCUCUAGAUCCAUCAUUAUGAGAAAACCGGUUUGUUAGUCAAUAAAUAGACAUUUCAAAAUAAUACAAUUUUAAUUAUUUGUGGUACCCACUUUCACUCUCAGAAGUGUCUUGGUGUGAAUGAUAAAUUAUAUGGCUAUGAUAUUUAUUAAUAGCUUUUGUGAAUCUUUAGGUUUGAAACAUGGUAGAAUUCCAGAUGUUGAGAUGAGAUGGAAAAGGCUUGGAAGCCCAGCAGCUUAGCCCCUGGGAGCUUCCUUCGCUCCUCCAGCUUGAUACUCAGUUCCUGUUGUGCCUUAGUGAUGUCCAGCUACCAUGUCCCGCUUUCUUAAUUGAGUAGCUCCACUCCAACCUGGACAGUAGUCUGUUCAGGACUGGUCCCCUGACUGUGGAGGCAAUCACAAUUUUUGCCAGGGAAUUUUGGAUUUAAGACUAAGAGUACUGUCUGUCUUCAGUGGCUGAAGCUGUAGGAUGCGAUGCCUGAGCACAUUGAACGAUCAUGUUUCUCAACUUUGCACUUGAGAAGCAGAGCUGGCCAGCCUGCAAACAGAAAAGGAAGACAGCACAUGCAGAAUGAAAAUGGCAUUUGUUUGAUAUCCUGAGUGUUUUUUUCCCAAGGCUCCCCUUCAGUUCCACCAGCCAUUAUGAUAUCAUAAACAUUUUUAUAAUAAAUUAACCUUUUGCUAUUGUAAAUUGAAGUUUACUUGGUUUUGGCAACCGAAAGAGUCUUUUCUUCCCCAUCUGAGUUUUAAGCAAAUUAAGACAUUGAAACAGGUGGAGGAAAGAGAAUGUCAGCUUUAUUUCUCCUCAGCUAUUGGAUCACAUGACUUUACAUCUAUAUCCAGAGGGCCUGCUCUCCCUCCCUCCCCUCCAGUCCAACCUGGGGAAUGGCGGGAUCUGCAUAACAAGCGAAGACUCUCAGCUGUCCCAGUGGAGAACACGGCAAGAAAGCCAUUCCCAACUUUAAGGUCUUCUAGUCGAUCAGUUCUGCCUCAUCCAGAAAUAUGGACCAGCAAGUAACUUGCUCCUCUUAGGGAGUAUUGAGCUCCCAGGAGACCCCGUAAAGGGCAGGGUGCAGGGUGAGGAGAGUCACUCUAAUGGAAUUUUUUUAAUAGAUGAAAACACAAGGCCAGCAGAAUGGAGGCAUCCCACUGUGAGUGGAAAAUGAAACCUGAACCUCGACUCUCAAGAUUCCUGAAUGCCCCGCUCAUUGUUAGUCCAACAUUCAAAUGGGCAGCUAGCGAGAGUAAGGCUGGGCACAGCCUCUUAACCAGCAAAUUGUUUUCUGUUUACACAUCUGCAGGUUCCCUCCCCAUGUUUUGGCUGGGAUCAGUGCAGAAGCUUCUUGGUUUUUCUCUAGCACCUCCCACCAGUGCCUAAGAUUGCAGAUGGGUGUCUCUCUGUGAACACCUAGCGUGUACAAACCUUAAUAACGUUACAUUAAGAUGCUUGAGCCUGGGAAGGAUCUGCUUUGAGGGGACAGCAGAUUUAGCUAAUAGACAUGGCAAGUGGUGAGAAAAGUCACCUGCUUCAGUGCUUGCUCAUUGUGGCAUUCAUGAAAACAGCUAGAUGGAGAAUCGUUCUGAAAGUUAGUGAACAAUAGGAUAGCAGGGGAAAUCUGAGCAUAACAAUAAAUCUUCAUUGUUGCUCUUGGCAAUCCAGAGUUUUUCACAGAGAGAGGCUAAAAGGCUAACUAUAUAUUUAAAGACUGGCCCCCUUUCCUGGAUGCGUGUCUACUGUAAAUGGCUUUGAUUUUUCAACAUAGGAUGACUUUUUCCAGUUUUGCACAUUUGAGUGCAUGCACACUGCUGUUUGGAGUUUCAGAUCUUUCUAAAAACUGAUUCACACAGGCACCUAACCUCUUUAACCCCUUUCUGCCACCUACCAUCUCUGUGAAUACAGUGCUUGCAGUUUUUCAAAGACAGAGGCUUCAGAAUUUGGCAGCAAAAAAAGUGAUGGCUUCUAACACAUUAACAGUGUGGUUAACGACAGCAGUUGCUUAAAACUCUGCCAUGCCUAACUUUCCAUCGUUAAGUGUGGUCACACUGGUGACAUUUAUUUAGGAACUGGGCACACAACUUAAAAUUUUAUGCUCAUAACCUAUUUGGGGUUUGAGGUAUUCUCUCCUACGUAUGUUUUAUCUGUUCAUAAAGAGGAAGCUUUUUUUUUUUUUUUUUUUUAAAGAAAAAGGCUGAUGUUUAGCUCCUGUUGAUUUGUAAUGGCUGAAAAGGAGUUUGAAGCAUGUUGCUUUUCAUCUCCUUUCUGCUAUUAAUUUUUAGUACUUUCAUUUAUGUCUGCAAAAAGCAGUUAAAAGUAAAAGUCCCCAGGUAAGAGUGUGUAAUUGGCAGGCUGGGGUGGAAGGCAGGGGCCCACCAUGGUUUUAAGAGAAUGCAAAGGGGAGGCCGAGCUGUGCAUUGUCAAUGGUAAAAACUUUCAAGAGAGGCGGAAAUUGUAAUUUGAGCUUAAUUUCUAAAUGAGGCUCAUUUUCCAGCGUCCCAGCCCUCCUCUCAGUGGCCUCCUGGCUAGUGGGUCAGACUGCUGGCACACCAUGAUGGCACACAGAAGACCCGAGGGAGCAGAGGGACAAAGGAGAAGCAGAGACCAGGGGAGAAAAACCUGGAGGUGUAUAAGAAUGUAUUUAUAAACGUGUAGCCUGUUAAAACCUGACCAUGCAAAUGGGAUGUGUGGCCAAGGCAUAUGCCCCAAGGGAGGAGAAAGUCUUUUUCUUCCCAAUUUCAAAAUGUCGGGUAAGCAAGUGACUGAGGGUUCUGGGUUUUCAUAUGCACAUAGAGAAAGGGAACAAAGUAUGAACUUUUAUUAAAGUAAGGUGUACUUUUAUGUCUCACAAUAAGUUAUUAAGUUCCUCUACUUAUUGUCUAGCACUGCAAUAUAUAUGCAUAUUCUAAUGGGGAGUUUUUAAAUCUUUGAGGAGAUAAAAGGCAAAAAUGUGAAAUGUCUUGGAAAGCAAUUAAGUCAGGGAUAUAAACCAUAAGAGCAGUGUGCGCCAAGAUGGGGGUUUUCGCCUGGCGUGUAGGCGAUCCCCAUGUUGAGAUCUAAUAUAGUUUUGAAUACCACGUCUCCGAGGGGAUCAUCCCCCAACACGGAUUCCUCUCAUCAGAAUCUUUCUUGAAGUCUUUGUCCUUAUUUAUUUUUUGUUACCAUUGGAAUCUGUAAGAUGAGCAGAUAAUUCAUCAAGAAGCGAGCCACGAGUAAGUGAACACAUGGGAACAGGGACUGAAGCAGAGGGCAGGAUGCGGAGAGACCAGAGGGAGUCUGUGGAUCAGCAGGAGAUCUCCUUGGGGAAAGGGAGCAGAGCUGGCAGAGGGGGUGGAGGAGCUGCUGAAGCCCACCCAGCAGCGGAGGAAAGCGUGGGUGUGCCCAUGGGGAGGGCACUGGCCCAAUGGGGACAUGGCAGAAAUGAGACCCAAGCCUGAAUUGGAGGCCCUGAAAGGUAACAUUAGGAGACUGGUCUGGUGGUCACUAAGAGCAUGUAUGUUCUCGGGCAUGGGUUUGAGGAGAUUCAGCACGUGACAGGAGGACAGCCAGGCAGCCGCACGCAGGGUAGACUGGAUUGGGAAGCUAUCCCGCUCUGAGAUGGGGAGAGAGUUUGAAUCAUAGUACUAUCGUUGGAAAAGAGAGAGCACUGAGAAAUCAUGAAGACUUUCAGAGGAAGAAACGACAGUAUUUAGUGGCAAAUAUAAAGGCAGGAGUCAGCAAACAUUUUCUAUAAAGGGCCAGAUAGUAGACACUUAGAGUUUUGUGGGCUGGCCUCCAGUUGAUAAUUGUCACUACUCGGCUCUGCCAUGGUAGUGUGAAAGCAACCGGUGACAAUACAUCCAUGCUUGCAUGUGGCUGUGUUUGCCCCAAGGGCCAUAGUUUGCCAACCCGAGAGGAGGGAUGAAAAAACAUUUUUAACCUUAGAGAAUCGAAGUAGACAUUAGGUAAAGGCUGUUAACCUCAUAAUCGAGAUUUCAUUCACCCACUCAGAAUUGCUGACAACACUUUCUUCCUGAGAUGCUAAACUUCCAGGUUUUCCCAGGUUCUCCUGCCCCAGCAUUCCUUGGCGUGGAGCUCUAGGGUGAUAGUAGGCUUGCGUAUGCAGAUAGAGAAACAGAACAGUUUAUGAGAAGUAGCCCUCUGUCUGGUGAAUGGCUCCCAGCUCACAUCCUCUAGCUGAUGAAAUUGUCACACAGAAAUCUCAGUGAGCACACUGGGAAAGUGAGCUGUUCCUGGUAGGACAGAGUUGGCCCCUGUUUUUACAAUGCCAGUGCAGCCCAGAAGAUGAGAGGCAGACUUGAUGGGCACGGUGUAGGGACGAGAGGUCCCAGCCACUUGCGAGUGGCUUGCUUUUCCAAGGAGUGGAUGAUGAGGGAGAAAAGGAUGUCCAGAGGGCCGUCCAUCUAGCUUGGCACCAGCACAGGAGAGCCAUGGAAGCUCAGCAGGCAGGCUGAGCGUCAGGACUGUGGUCUCUGCAGAAAAGUGGGUGGCUUCUUUAUGUGGAUACCUGCUGGAGUGUGCUGUUUUUUAAAAAACAGGUUACUGGGAAGAACAUUAUCCACAACACAACAUCUAUAUAUACCAACACAUAGCAUAUGCACACUCCUCUACAUGUUUAUAUAUACACAUCGUUUCUGGUUUAUUUUCCUCUUACUCAAAAUACAUUAUGUCGCCCAAUUUUGUUUUCUCAUUUAAUGUGGAGCUCUUUAUGGUGGUGUUAAGUGUAAUUUUAGCUUUGCAUUUUGUGAGGCCCACCCGUGUUGGGCUGGGGAUGAAGGAGAGUGUCAUCUGGAUAGGUGGCAAGAAGGCAGUACUGCUAGAUUUUUAUAGGACAACCAAAGGCCAGGGUGUGGAGGGUUUUUUGGUUUGUUUGUUUGGUUUUUGCCCCCUUUUCUGCUUAAAGAUUUUGCCUCAUUAAAUUUUUUUUUUUUUUUUUUUUUAGUUCAGUGAUUCUAUGGCUAUCUGUAGAGUGAAACGUCAUUUUUCCUCGGGGGUGGCAGAUGAGUUAGUGGACUCCUUAGGGGAGACUCUGCCUGGUCCCUUUGCCCUCUCCCUGCAGGGCACCACCCUGGCCUGCCUCCUUCCAGGGAACCCUGUCAGAGCUACGGAGCUGAAGCAGCCUCCCCCUUCAGACCUCAGAGAGCGUUUCUCUGACCCUUUCUUCUGCCCCUCUGGCUGUCUUUCCCUGUAGUGUUUAAGCUCCCCACGGCCUUGCACAUGGUGGGCACGAGGUGCCUGCUGAGCACAUGAGAGGACUGUGAGCUGUUUGAGUGUGGAGCCCGUGUCUCACUCACCUUCGCAGCCCCUGUGCCUAGAGAGCUAGCACACUAACCAGUGUUGGCCGAGUGAGAAGCGAGUAGGUGAGUGAUGAAACAGUGAUGAGCUUGACCCCACAUGCAGCAGACUGGGUUCCCAGCCUUGUUUCUGAGCCCCACCCACCCCCAUCUGGUCCUCUUGUCCUUUCGGCGAGGAGCUGAACUCGGAAACGUAAUGAGCCAAUGGGAGAUGAGCUGAUAUUUAUUAAUGGCGGGGCAGAUGCCUAGGAGUGCCCAUCUGUGCUGGGUGGAACCCACCAGUGGGCCUGAUAUGGGAUCUCCUCCUCUCCCUCCCUUCCUCAACAGGGUGUGGGAGGGCCUGAGGAUCGAAGCCAGAGUUGUCUCCCGUGUUCUCUCCUGAGCUCAGAGGGGACCGAGCUUCCCUUCUCUCUCAAGACACAGGAAGGAGAAUGAGAGGCCAGAUGGUACAAAUGUCCCACACUCUCACCCCAGAUUGGUCCAACUUUUAGUCAAACCAGCGCAUGAGAGGAGCAGUAGAGGGACAGAAGCAAGAACAUGAUAGAUGCCGAGACAAGAUUUGGUACAUGAGAAGGUAUUUAAGAGAUCUUGAAAUUUUCCUACAGGAGAAAAAGAGAAAAUGAGGAGAAGGAAAGCAUUUGUGCUGUGAGAACUAACCGAUAAAUUAUACUUAAAUAACUUCCUGAAUAAGUAUAAAUCAUGCAGUUACAUAAAAUCAUUUUGAUUUCAUUAUGUUCGUAUUAAUACAUUCUAAUUUUCAGGUGCACAUGCCUAAAGGCACAAGGGUCCUAAACACACAAUAAUCAAAAAAGCUAAUUAAUCACAAAUGAGCAAGUUUCCCAAAUAAUUUUAGUACAGUUACAAUUAAGAAACUGCACAAAAGUAGGAUAAAAAUACACAAGCAGACAAGAAACUUCAUUAUAAGGUAUAAAAACCAAAGAAGAAAACAGAGGAGCCUCAUUUCCUAAGCCAGGUAAUGCCUCUAAAUGUAUUUGGGGGGAUAACAGAGGAAAAGGGUCAUUUCAGAGACCUCUGGCCCUAACCAUGCCUUUUCUCUGUUUUCCUUAUUAAUCUGGUGAAUCUUGACUCAUGCCUCUCUUAUAUUAAUGAUUUCUUCUAGCUUUGAGGGAUCUAGAAGUCUCAAAAGCACCCCUCUUAUUUCUGAGUGGCUGCUAAGAACUAUAAAUAGAACAGGGACAGGUGCGGGGGUUGGUAAGAUGAUACAAGACACCCCUUUCCAUGUGUACACAUUCAUUAAUCAGAAUUUUUUGCAUAUAAAGGUUCAACAAGUUUUAGAUCCAUCUCAAUAAGCAGUUGAGCCCUCUUUUCUCUUUUGCAAGUAAAUUAUAGGAACUUCAGCCAAGUGCUUUGCUAUAGUCAUAAUGUGCUUUAUCUAUGGCAUUUUCUGGCCUACCCUCCCAGUAAAUGCAACCAUAAGUGAUGAUAAGAAUGGGAGGUUAGUCAGCACUAUUUUACUUCCAAGAGUCAGAAACCCAGCUAAAGCAAAA